Molecule: long non-coding RNA, 1563 nt
Filed under: Triticum aestivum (bread wheat)
Lineage: Eukaryota; Viridiplantae; Streptophyta; Magnoliopsida; Poales; Poaceae
Description: long non-coding RNA (TAES_LNC023737)
Source: RNAcentral
GGUUGCGUCUCGUUCAUUUUUCAACCCCUACGUACGGGCUUACGGUGAAGAAUGAGCAUUUCACCAGCGGAAAAGGGGUGAGGAGGAGGAGGAGGCCAGCUUGCAACGUACGUCUUUAUAAGUAACCCCUCCGUCUCGUUCCUUUCUUCCACCCCGGCCGGCCUCUUCCAGCUCAACCACGAAAGCUAAGCUAGCCAUGAUUCCAUGCGACGUGAGCUUUCUCGAGGGCUUUGUGUUCGGCGUGGUGGCCAUCCCGGCGAUGCUGGGCAUCGCGCGGAUCCUCGACCUCAUCGACCACUUCAUCGCGGACAAGAUCCGGGCUUGCAUGGGCGGCGACCUGGAGCAAGAAGCGGAAGGCGCAGGCGGCGCCGCGGUCUGAGGUCAGGAUCGGCCGGGUCCAGAGCCUUCCCUGGCGGGAGGUGUGCGAGCUAAGUAUCUAGGGUUGCGAUGCGUGUAUCUGGUCAUUCGAUCAGUGCUUAAUUAGCAGCAGGCAUGGCAUAUAUUGGUACGGUAUGUUAUGUAUGCUUUAGCAGCAGGCAUUGCAUGGUCUCUGCGACUACUACGUACUCGAUCUAGAGUUUCUCUAGCAUGUGUUGUUCACUGCAUGCACGUACACAUAUGUAUUAUGUUUGUAAUAAUCGGUCUCCGGCUCCGGCCGAUGUGUUUAUUUCUCGGUCGAUCUUCUUAACUUGGCGGUAAAUAGCAAGCAGGAGCUGUUUUACAGUUGCGCGUUGCUGCUGCUGCUGCAUUGUCAGUCUCUUCUGUAUAUACGUAGUGGACAUAUCACCUCACCGUCCAUCUCCCGCGCGCAAUCGCGCAUGUACUCGGAGUGUGGUUAUGUGACUCAUGUAGAUGCAAGGAUGGAGAGCUAGCUUAGCUUUUUUCUCUUCUUCUUUUUUUUCAGGGAAGAGAGCUUAGCUUAGCUAGGUGUACGUACUUGGGCGCAAAGGCAAAGGCUUGCCCAACCAUGCAAUGCAAUUGCAUGGAUGCUAGCUAGCUACCACCGUCGAGCGACCUGUGACUGUCACCGGAGUCCGGAUAUUGCCGCACUCCACCCAUGUGCACAAGGCCACCAAAUUCUUUGCACCAAUUUGGUCGAUCAGAGCCAGCCUUUGCCAUGAACGAUUCAGAUCUACACAACUGAUGGGGUCGCUCGCUUCUUCGAUCCAUGCAUGCUAAUAUCGGUCUGGCAGCGAACAAACCUUUCAACUUUGCCACUCUUACUACGUGUCGUUGUACGUGCGCUUGGAUGAUGUGCAUGGUUCGACUAUUAUUUUGCGACAAACAUGUGAUGAAGUCCAACUGUUACAAUGAUUGCUUCAGUUCCAUCCCGCGAAAAAUUGAAUACUUCAGUUCAGAUGUAAUCUGUGGUGACCUUCAUCCUCACGUAACAAUAGGAGUUACCGAAGCAGAAGUGCUGAAAAGUAUCAAACAGAUAUGGGACCGGUACCAAAAACAUGAGACCAAUACCUAUCUUUUUAAUUGUUUCUUGUGUGCGUGUGUGUUAUAAUUAAGAAACAUCAUAUAUAAUUCUGUUCCCGAUCAAAAAUCGGUGCACAAANN